UAUUGGUGUGCCUUACAAGGGGGUAAGCGCAAUAGUUGAAACAGUGAAACAAAUGCACGUGCGUUACGUGAUGAGCGUUAACUUAGACCAACCCUACUUGUUGUCGGUGUUUCAUUUAACGUGCAUGAAAGUGUAAUCCC
Molecule: long non-coding RNA, 140 nt
Organism: Haliotis rubra (blacklip abalone)
Lineage: Eukaryota; Metazoa; Mollusca; Gastropoda; Lepetellida; Haliotidae
Exons: 3
Source: RefSeq, a predicted model, not a curated record